CAGCAGGCGCGCAAAUUACCACUCCCGAACUGGGGAGGUAGUGACGAGAAUUAUCGGUCUUACUCUUUGAGCAAAAGACCGGAAUGGACGAAAUUCAGGUCCAUUCGUGAAAACUAGCGAGGGGCAAGUCUGGUGCCAGCAGCCGCGGUAAUUCCAGCCUCGCAUGUAAAUGUAAAAUUUGUUGCAUUUAAAAAGCUCGUAGUCGGACAGUUUCACGACACUUUGUUCAAAGCCAGCUGCAACUCGGCUAGCCAGUUACGAAGGGUUUUGAACUGGUCAAUUAGUCGUUGCAACUGGAUGAAUAGUCGUGAACAAUCACAAGUUUCGCUUAUACACUUAAUUGUGUGUAGGACUGAAAAUUUGUGGACGUACCUUGAACAAAUCGGUUUGUUCAAAACAGGCCAUAUUGAGCGCCUGGACAUUCGAGCAUGGAAUGAUCGAUCGAGACCUGAUCGUUUGGUCGGAAACGAGUAAGGUCCAGGUCAAAAGGGACAUUUGGGGGCAUACGAACUCGGCAGCGAGAGGUGAAAUUCUAAGACCUGCCGAG
This 547-nucleotide ribosomal RNA is filed under the name Buddenbrockia sp. SH-2006. RNAcentral's name for it is "SSU rRNA". It matches the Rfam family "Eukaryotic small subunit ribosomal RNA", at positions 426 to 933 of the family's 1831-position model. Lineage: Eukaryota; Metazoa; Cnidaria; Myxozoa; Malacovalvulida; Saccosporidae. The record is from RNAcentral.